Molecule: ribosomal RNA, 767 nt
Filed under: Pediococcus acidilactici
Lineage: Bacteria; Bacillati; Bacillota; Bacilli; Lactobacillales; Lactobacillaceae
Description: bacterial SSU rRNA
Rfam family: Bacterial small subunit ribosomal RNA
Source: RNAcentral
AGUAACACGUGGGUAACCUGCCCAGAAGCAGGGGAUAACACCUGGAAACAGAUGCUAAUACCGUAUAACAGAGAAAACCGCCUGGUUUUCUUUUAAAAGAUGGCUCUGCUAUCACUUCUGGAUGGACCCGCGGCGCAUUAGCUAGUUGGUGAGGUAACGGCUCACCAAGGCGAUGAUGCGUAGCCGACCUGAGAGGGUAAUCGGCCACAUUGGGACUGAGACACGGCCCAGACUCCUACGGGAGGCAGCAGUAGGGAAUCUUCCACAAUGGACGCAAGUCUGAUGGAGCAACGCCGCGUGAGUGAAGAAGGGUUUCGGCUCGUAAAGCUCUGUUGUUAAAGAAGAACGUGGGUGAGAGUAACUGUUCACCCAGUGACGGUAUUUAACCAGAAAGCCACGGCUAACUACGUGCCAGCAGCCGCGGUAAUACGUAGGUGGCAAGCGUUAUCCGGAUUUAUUGGGCGUAAAGCGAGCGCAGGCGGUCUUUUAAGUCUAAUGUGAAAGCCUUCGGCUCAACCGAAGAAGUGCAUUGGAGACUGGGAGACUUGAGUGCAGAAGAGGACAGUGGAACUCCAUGUGUAGCGGUGAAAUGCGUAGAUAUAUGGAAGAACACCAGUGGCGAAGGCGGCUGUCUGGUCUGUAACUGACGCUGAGGCUCGAAAGCAUGGGUAGCGAACAGGAUUAGAUACCCUGGUAGUCCAUGCCGUAAACGAUGAUUACUAAGUGUUGGAGGGUUUCCGCCCUUCAGUGCUGCAGCUAACGCAUUA